This 277-nucleotide long non-coding RNA is filed under the name Pelobates cultripes (western spadefoot toad). Lineage: Eukaryota; Metazoa; Chordata; Amphibia; Anura; Pelobatidae. The record is from RNAcentral.
CGCCAUGCUGACCGGUCGCAUGCGGGAGAGGCUCCUGCACAAUCUGGCCCUUUAGAACGCAAAACAUGGCACAUCGCAGCCAGAAAUGCAGCACAGUGAACAGGCAGCUGUGGGCGCUACUGCUGACCCCAAGAUCGGGAGUUUUGAGGCCCCUGAAGGCUGCAAGAAACUUUGGGGCCUGCGGCCUACGCGGGAGGGGAGCGGGAUGGACGGCCGCCGUCCUGUCUCCAACUCUAGCAACCACGCAGCAGCACUGAAACACUCCUCACGGGUCCCG